AGUGAACGCUGGCGGUAGGCCUAACACAUGCAAGUCGAACGGCAGCACAGUAAGAGCUUGCUCUUACGGGUGGCGAGUGGCGGACGGGUGAGGAAUACAUCGGAAUCUACUUUUUCGUGGGGGAUAACGUAGGGAAACUUACGCUAAUACCGCAUACGACCUACGGGUGAAAGCAGGGGAUCUUCGGACCUUGCGCGAUUGAAUGAGCCGAUGUCGGAUUAGCUAGUUGGCGGGGUAAAGGCCCACCAAGGCGACGAUCCGUAGCUGGUCUGAGAGGAUGAUCAGCCACACUGGAACUGAGACACGGUCCAGACUCCUACGGGAGGCAGCAGUGGGGAAUAUUGGACAAUGGGCGCAGGCCUGAUCCAGCCAUACCGCGUGGGUGAAGAAGGCCUUCGGGUUGUAAAGCCCUUUUGUUGGGAAAGAAAAGCAGCAGGUUAAUACCCCGCUGUUCUGACGGUACCCAAAGAACAAGCACCGGCUAACUUCGUG
Molecule: ribosomal RNA, 492 nt
Filed under: uncultured bacterium
Lineage: Bacteria
Description: partial 16S ribosomal RNA
Rfam family: Bacterial small subunit ribosomal RNA
Source: RNAcentral